Ficedula albicollis (Collared flycatcher) is the source of this 1137-nucleotide long non-coding RNA. RefSeq lists it as uncharacterized. The record is from RefSeq and is a predicted model, not a curated record. The transcript is spliced from 3 exons. Lineage: Eukaryota; Metazoa; Chordata; Aves; Passeriformes; Muscicapidae.
ACGGGGGGAUGGAGGGGAGGGACGGGAAGUUGUACAAAAGGUAAAACGCGGUUUUGGUGAUUUGUAGAUGCCUAAAAAUGUAACUUGUUUGACGACCCGUGAGCCCCUCAGUGCUCGGUCCGCCGUGUUCCCCCUCCUCCGCAGUACCAUCGAAAGCUUAUGGAGUUCUGGUUGGAGGCAGCUCCGAGCAACCUGGUCCAGUGGAAGGUGUCCCUGCCCACGGAAGGAGUGUUGGAAUUAGAUGAUCUGCUGAGCUCACAGAAGGAGUCGGGCAGGUGCCAGUGCUGGUGGAAGGGGAGGGGAACAUACGGCUGGGAACAGAAGGAAGGUGGGAAUGUGACAAGCGAUGACAAAUUGGUUUGCUUGGAGAGGAGCCGCACUGUAGCUUGUACCAGCCUUUGAUUUCUGCCGUGCUGACUUGAGCUGAGUGAUUUGCUCUGUGGAAAGAAAGUGCAUCCCACUCCAAAUGAAACCAUGAAACCAGGCAGAGCAAGUCCUUCAAGUAAGCCUUUGUGUCCCAAGAGAUGUAUCCAAGAAUAGCAAAUGUUUGAAAUGUUCAUGCUCAAAUUGUUCCACCUUUCUGUUCUUCAUCUGUAAGAUGAAGAUGCUAAUAUUAACUUGCCUCAGGAAUCUUGUGAAGAAAAAGCUGCAUUUGUGAAGCACUGGUUACAGUAAAAAAAAAAAAAAACAUAAAAACCCAAGAGAAAAUAAACUAAAAUACAUUUUUAUUCAGCACUGCUUCUGAAUGGUUAUUAAAUAAAACCCAAGGCUACUUAGUAAAUAAGGAAGAUUAUAAAAACUUUAACAACUCAGGAAGCACAAUUCACCUUGCAGCAUUUUCUGCACUGAAAAAGGCUGGAGAUCUGGUGGAAAAAUAAAGUACUUAUGCAAAUGCUGAAAUUAAACUUGUCCAUGGAUUUGUGCUUAAAUUGACUUAUUGCAGGCUCUGAUUCAAAGCUGCUUUAUUGCUGUGGAAUUGAUAAGGACUUUUCCUGGGUAGUUUCUCUGACUGAAGGGUGGAGUUAAGAAUAGUCUGGGAAUGCACAGGUGUGUUUAGUUGUUCCAUUGCAACCUGGGCAAAGGAGAGUUUGCAGAUAUAGAUUUACCUGGAAUAAUGCCCGUGAAGUUCCCUGUCUC